AAGCUUCGUAUCACUAUACGUUACAACACCACGUGAUAAUGUCAACCUUUACUGUUCCAAUCGGGAUCACAUGACGCCCGUCUCUAUUUACUUUCUUCGUUAUCGUAGCAAGCCCGCAAUAGGAAGAAUUAAAUUCAAGUAAGGUGGAGAUGCAUUGUGGGCGGCCUGAAAACCCAAUGGUCCGCAAAGCCUCGACCUUGCUUACCAAAUAAGGUCCCGUUCAAGGUCUUCGAGGCCUUGCGUAAGGCUCCAGCUGUGCCAUCGGCAUAACGAUUAACCGAUUAUGUCCACGCUUUAGUCAUCGGCCGUUUUCAGUGAAAGUGUUUGGCUGCAAUUCUCACUAGAAGAUCAGCUUAUUUUACUACACUGUAUUUCCUUUAUCACCGUGAGAUCCCUGAUUUCGUUCUGUGGAAAGUUCGAAUUGGGCGUGUCUGCCCUACACGGACACGUGCUGUAGGUAACGUCUGGCUCCAGUCGUGCAGUGCCACCGAAAUCAAUACGGAAUGCGACGAGGUUUGCCGCGUUCGCAAAUGUCCAUUUUAAUAAGAAGAUUACACGUUGUAGAAUUCCGUAGUGCGAUAAUUUAAUAUUGUGAGAUUAGUACAAGUUAUCUAAAUCUUGAUAAUUCUCGAGGGGUGAUACAGGCGGAAGAUUUUUCAAGUAGUAGGUACUUUAAUUCCCUUUGAAUUGCAUGUAACACGUACUUCACCGAUGCUUCUUUACUUUCCCUUGGUAAGAACAAAAGAAAUCCCUCUUACGUACUUCUGUUCUCCUCAAGGUACAACCAAGUGGCUGUUCACGCGUAAUACCUGAAUUGUCCUUAAGUAGAAGGUAAAAGAUUCCAUUGAACUGAAUUAAGGAAUCAUGAUACAUCUUGUAUCAUGAUUCCUUAAUUCAUUUCGAGGGAAAAUGUACGAUCAAAUUUUAAGUUUAUUUCCAUCCUUAAGAGUCGAAAUUUUACUUAUAUACAACAAUAAUAAAUUGAUAAGAUAUGAUGGAUUUAUUGGAAUUGUAUCUAGAAACUAUUGUGCUGAAAAGAUAAAUUAUCGUUUAGAACAAUGUCUAUUCCACAUAGAAGAGGUAAUUAAAUCUAAUAGCUUGGGUGUUGUUUAAAAUUUUCAGAUAUAGUUAUGCUUGGCUAAUUUUUAUUCUCCAGGUUCACACAUCUGCUGUGAUGAUAAUUUGCAACUAUGCUUAAGUAAGAGAUAAUUGUGUACGUGAUUAAUUUCUAGUCGUAGUAACAGUCCUCAUUGGCGAUUGCCAGCCAUGCGAGGAAUCCGGGCAGAAACGCGCGAUAAUACGCGAUCACUAUAUUUAGUGUUGACUUUAGUGUCUCGUCAGAUCGAGAAACAGUGACGUCUGCGCAGCUGACGAUAAAGAGAACGAUAAUAGUUCGUGUAUAGAAAUCAUACAACUUGUUAUUCGCGUACUCGCGACUUGAAAUUCUGUUUAAAAGAUUCGUCGAUGAUUCAAACUACACACAUCGAUUUUACAUUCGAUAACGAUUCAUCUCGUACUCAGAAUACGUUGUUAUUCAUUCAUCGCGUAUAAUACUUUUACUGCACGAGACAUUCAUAAUCACAAGAAGGAAAUAAUUGAAAAUAAGAAAUUUCAUUUUUUAGUUAUAUACAUUUAGCUACGUAGUUAGGAAUGUAGUUACUCAAUUUAUCGUGAACUUUAAAGAUACCGUCAUUUAGAUUUUUAGCGACUUUUCUUCGAGUAAUUAAAAAAAAAAGAAAGAUAUAAUCGAUUGUAAUACUUUUUUAAAUGAAAUUUUGAUACGCCGUGUUACUGUAAGAGUGAUGGAAGUUAGUAAGUUAGAAUGGUUGAUAAUUCCUGUAGAAAUCAUACUUCAACUUUUUUUUGUCUGUAGAUAUUUUUAAUGAGUUUGGAUAAGAUAGAAAUCAUCAAUUCUGUAUCUCAUAAUUUAUCAGGUUUUUCCGCACAAAGUUCCCCCAUCGCAAAUUGAUAGUGAAAAAUCACAUUUCGAAAAAUAUCCCAGAUAUUCGCGCAAGAAUAUUUCAUUAGCAUUCGAAAAUUCAAGGUUAAAGUUUGCAGUUUUUAAAAAAUUCACGUUCGAAUAAAUUAAAAUUUCGUCUUAACGUGAAAGUUGAACGGCUUUGGAAUUGAGUUUCUAGAACCAUAGAGAAUUUUAAUCCGAAUAUUCUCAAUGCGAUGGCCAUGGAUUCGAAGGAAAGAUGAAUUCGUCAAUGCCAGUAGGAAGUACAUAUGUAUGUAUGUACUUGAGAGUUGCAAAGAAGACUAACGAGACGGGCACCGAGAUUGUUACACGAGUUCGUUUGUUUUUACAGUAGUACUUUCGACCGAUAGAUGUUCUUAUAUUUAAGAAUGCAUUGAACUAUCAAAAACGAUCGAUCAGACCCGCGUUCCUGUCGUUCGUCUUCUUUCCAGCUCCGCAUUACGCAUUAUUUUUGCCGCGUCGUGAAUCGUCGAAUCGAAGGUAAGAAUGACGACUCGACCAUUCCACUCUAGCUGGCACGCAAGAUCUGCGGUCUUCGGCUCUGACGAGUGACGUUUGAGAUUCUUGGGAUCUGACCUUGCACACGCGACUGACCCAGAACAGGCAGACAGGAUCGAUGGACUCUUCAGCUUCGUCGAAGGACGAGUCACCUCGAGGACCUUCUUACUUUCUAUGCAUUUCGAAUCGUACGAAGAGGCGCAUUCGAAUUUAACUCGCCCGUAUCUUACAAGGCUUGAGCGAUUUUCGACUUCAUCGCGAGCUUGGGGUCUAAUACACACUCCCCGCUCCCAUUCAUUCCAUGCGGCCUCGUAAUCGGCGGACGAUUGUCGUCGUGGCAAAAAAUCGGGUUGAAUGAAACUGGAACGGAGUGCACGUUCGUUAAGUCGACAGGCAAAAACUACCGGAUGAAUGGCUGGAUACUGUGCGCAAGGCAUCCUUCUCGAGUAGGACGGGGGCCGAGGGACUUCGCAGACGAAGAAAGAAAGGCAGUAGGCUCGUACCUGGUAACUUCAAGACCCUUCGCCUAUGGAAACUUGAAUUUGUACGAUUUCCGAGCAAUCAUCCAUAUCUUCAUCGUCUAGUUAACUUACAUACUGUUUAAGCAACGAACAAACGAAGAACCAGAAAUUCGACAGAGGAUUAAAAAUGAAGAAACGAAGCUAAAUUUAUAUAACUGCGAACGAUAAGAGAAAGGAAAGAAUGCCAGCAGGAUGAAAUCGUGGAAGAGGCAAUUUGUCACUUGAGGAAGCAGAAAUUCCAUACGAGCUUCGGCCGAUGAAUCAUCGUCUAGCUUUCAGUUGGAGGGGAAUUCGAAUUUUAACCUAUGUGUGCCCGCGUGCGUUUGCAAGAGAGUUCUAGGAGACUUCUUGGAUAGUGGCAAGCGCCUUCCAAGACGAUGACUGGUCGCAACCUGCGUUCCAACUUCCAUGUUUGCGUUUGAAUAUUGGUUCGUUUACAUUGUGGCAGUUGCUUUUGGAGUUGCCGCGCCACGUGUGGUUGAGAAUCUUCGUAGGAGACGUCUCUGGAAUUUAUUGUUCUCUUUUUUAACAACGUGCGAGAAAGAAAAGGAACAGGACUUUUAGCAAAAAAGAAACUCUCUGCAAAAAUUCGCGGUGGAAUUUUUCGCGACACACGGUCUUACGUAAAGGCGUUCAAUAGCUCUACAUUUCGUAUAAUAAUAUAAUUUUUUUUUCGUUGGCAAGAUAACGUUACAUUGCCUGACUAAUUGUCGAAAACAAUGAUACGACGCAUUGUAAAAACCUUCGUUGUGCGAUUU
Molecule: long non-coding RNA, 3758 nt
Organism: Frieseomelitta varia
Lineage: Eukaryota; Metazoa; Arthropoda; Insecta; Hymenoptera; Apidae
Exons: 5
Source: RefSeq, a predicted model, not a curated record